GCCGGGGUGGCCGAGUGGAUAAGGCGCAGGCCUUGAGAGCCUGUGGCCCUUGUUGGGCCGCAUGGGUUCGAAUCCCAUCCCCGGCGCCA
RNAcentral lists this transfer RNA (89 nucleotides) under Candidatus Bathyarchaeota archaeon. RNAcentral's name for it is "tRNA-Ser". It matches the Rfam family "tRNA". Rfam says of the family: Transfer RNA (tRNA) molecules are approximately 80 nucleotides in length. Their secondary structure includes four short double-helical elements and three loops (D, anti-codon, and T loops). The record is from RNAcentral. RNAcentral also lists the same sequence under 1 other name. Lineage: Archaea; Thermoproteati; Candidatus Bathyarchaeota.